This 468-nucleotide ribosomal RNA is filed under the name uncultured bacterium. Its description in RNAcentral is "partial 16S ribosomal RNA". It matches the Rfam family "Bacterial small subunit ribosomal RNA", at positions 28 to 507 of the family's 1533-position model. The record is from RNAcentral.
GACGAACGCUGGCGGCGUGCUUAACACAUGCAAGUCGAACGGAAAGGCCCUGCAUUUGUGGGGUGCUCGAGUGGCGAACGGGUGAGUAACACGUGAGUAACCUGCCCUUGACUUUGGGAUAACUUCAGGAAACUGGGGCUAAUACCGGAUAGGAGCUCCUGCUGCAUGGUGGGGGUUGGAAAGUUUCGGCGGUUGGGGUUGGACUCGCGGCUUAUCAGCUUGUUGGUGGGGUAGUGGCUUACCAAGGCUUUGACGGGUAGCCGGCCUGAGAGGGUGACCGGCCACAUUGGGACUGAGAUACGGCCCAGACUCCUACGGGAGGCAGCAGUGGGGAAUAUUGCACAAUGGGCGGAAGCCUGAUGCAGCAACGCCGCGUGCGGGAUGACGGCCUUCGGGUUGUAAACCGCUUUCGCCUGUGACGAAGCGUGAGUGACGGUAAUGGGUAAAGAAGCACCGGCUAACUACGUG